AACGCACCCUUUUAAAGUAGCGGGUUGUUUAAACCUACAUCUUGUAAGCUAAUGCUCAUUUUUUUUUUUUAUCGCUGCUAGACACAAUUGUUGCAAAACAUUGCUGACGCCUGUGAAGCAUUUAUUGUUUAUGCUAACUUUUUACCUGCCAAAUUAAGUUACUUUCUGUCGUCGUCGUCAAGAAAAAGUAAUUUUUGGUGCACCUGGAACUCUUUCCGUCGACUGUUCGUCAUAACCAGAGACUGUAUGAGGUCAUAACCACCUGUGACGUGGAUUCAAGCUUCAAGUGAAACGUUUACAAGACUCUAACAAGCCAGGUCUGACAGCUAACUUCAGCAAGAAUUUCCCAGGUAUCGAUCUGUGACCUGAGGAGAAGCUCUCAAUUUCUCGCAUACCAUUUCACAACAACCAAAAACCAAGAGAGAAAAAACAGGGCCUAUUUCGCUGGAGGAAUUGCAGCACCUGCUUCCUUGACUAAUGUGCAAAACCACUUCUACACCACAACUACCUUUUUGUUCAUUCUGCUCAUCCUCCCACACACCACUUGAAAGCUGACCAUAAAGCAGAAGACAAUAAAGACAAAUUGGAAAAAGACACCGCUCCGUCUGUUCCAACGGUGACUACCUUUACCGGCACGGCCACUGUUCGCCCGUUGAGGACGGCUGUGUUGAGGAUCUCAGUGUCCUGCAAAGAAAAGGCAGAAAGACAGAAAUCAGUGU
Long non-coding RNA from Centropristis striata (black sea bass), 719 nucleotides. RefSeq lists it as uncharacterized. Lineage: Eukaryota; Metazoa; Chordata; Actinopteri; Perciformes; Serranidae. The record is from RefSeq and is a predicted model, not a curated record. The transcript is spliced from 3 exons.